Molecule: ribosomal RNA, 414 nt
Filed under: uncultured microorganism
Description: bacterial SSU rRNA
Rfam family: Archaeal small subunit ribosomal RNA
Source: RNAcentral
GCGCAACAGUCACGAAUCCUUCGCAAUGCGGGAAACCGCGACGAGGGGACUCCCAGUGCCUACGCUCAGCGUAGGCUGUUCCUGAGCCUAGAAAGCUCGGGGAGUAAGGGCUGGGUAAGACGGGUGCCAGCCGCCGCGGUAAUACCCGCAGCCCGAGUGGUGGCCACUAUUAUUGGGCCUAAAGCGUCCGUAGCCGGCCCGGUAAAUGCCUGGGUAAAUCGUGAGGCCUAACCUCACGAAUUCCGGGUAGACUGCCGGGCUAGGGACCGGAGGAGGGAGAGGGGUACUCCAGGGGUAGGGGUGAAAUCCUGUAAUCCCUGGAGGACCACCGGUGGCGAAGGCGCUCUCCUAGGACGGGUCCGACGGUGAGGGACGAAAGCCAGGGGAGCGAACCGGAUUAGAUACCCCUGUAGU